This 505-nucleotide ribosomal RNA is filed under the name uncultured bacterium. RNAcentral's name for it is "partial 16S ribosomal RNA". It matches the Rfam family "Bacterial small subunit ribosomal RNA", at positions 28 to 507 of the family's 1533-position model. The record is from RNAcentral.
GACGAACGCUGGCGGCGUGCCUAAUACAUGCAAGUAGAACGCACAGUUUAUACCGUAGCUUGCUACACCAUAGACUGUGAGUUGCGAACGGGUGAGUAACGCGUAGGUAACCUGCCUGGUAGCGGGGGAUAACUAUUGGAAACGAUAGCUAAUACCGCAUAAUAUUGAUUAUUGCAUGAUAAUUGAUUGAAAGAUGCUAUUGCAUCACUACCAGAUGGACCUGCGUUGUAUUAGCUAGUAGGUGAGGUAACGGCUCACCUAGGCGACGAUACAUAGCCGACCUGAGAGGGUGAUCGGCCACACUGGGACUGAGACACGGCCCAGACUCCUACGGGAGGCAGCAGUAGGGAAUCUUCGGCAAUGGACGAAAGGCUGACCGAGCAAAGCCGCGUGAGGGAAGAAGGGUUUCGGAUCGUAAAGCUCUGUUGUAAGAGAAGAACGGGUGUGAGAGUGGAAAGUUCACACUGUGACGGUAUCUUACCAGAAAGGGACGGCUAACUACGUG